Long non-coding RNA from Arachis stenosperma, 2710 nucleotides. RefSeq lists it as uncharacterized. The record is from RefSeq and is a predicted model, not a curated record. The transcript is spliced from 4 exons. Lineage: Eukaryota; Viridiplantae; Streptophyta; Magnoliopsida; Fabales; Fabaceae.
UCUGAUUAUUUCUUUUCCGUUUCAUGCUUGUUCCGAUUUCUUUUUCAUUUUAUUCCAAAAAAUUUCUUGCAGAAAAAGAGUAGCAUUAUUCUAAUCUGAUCAUAGUGUGCGUGAGUGAAUUAAUCGGAACCGCGAUGAGAAGGGGAAGAUUCAAGAGUAAGCCCACUGUUCACCACCAGUUCUCCACGCGGGAAGAUCUCUAUAAGCACAAAUUUCAAACCCUUUCCUUCUUUUGCAUCUGAUUCCCGUUAUUGCUAUUAUUUCCAUUUAUUCAUAAAUAAUUGAAGUCCAUUCAUCUGGUUACAAAUUGAAAGAUUAUAUGACAUAUCUAGCUUGUCCCAAGAUGAAAGUGGCCUUUUCCUUUCAGCAUCCUGCAUGGAUAAUUGCAUUUAUCUCUAUAACAUCUUUUAACUUGACAAGGGGCCUUUCAGAUAUCCCACAGAAUCAUUUUUUGUCAAGGCUGCCAUUAGCCCAUAUGCAUCUCAAAUAGUCAGUGAUUCUAGUAAUGGAAAUGUUUAUGUAUGGCAGGUAACAAUUUUAUAUUUUUUAUGAUUUAUUUUACUAAGAUAGGUUGCAAUUGUGAUGUGACUUUAUUGAAAACUUCCAAAAAUUAGGUUAACAAGCCCCAAGUAAUGCCUGUUAUUUUGAAAAGUCAUGAUGUGAAGGUUACAACAAUUGACUGGUAAAUAGGAAUUCUAGUGUGGUUUAGAAUUUUAGUUCUCUUCAUUUUAAUUUGAACUUCUAACAAUAGUUACAUUAUAGGAACCACUCUGAGAUUGGUAAAUUAGCAACGACAUCAGAUGAUUGCACAGUAAGCAAAUUUAUUUAUUUAUUAAUUUUAGUUCAUUUUAUUUGAGACCAAGUUGGGUUCCAAAACCAAAUUAUCAUUUCCAAAUUGCAAUGUUAAUUUCUUUACUGUCUAUAACCUAAUAAAGUAUUCCAAGUUUACUUGUACAUGAAUUUGUCACUCACUAUUCACUUAUUUCAAUGUUUUAGACUUGUUUAUAAUAAUAAAGAACAAGAAAUUCGUUUUGUAUAACAAAAAUUUUUACACUUAUGUGUUUGAAAGGUUUAGGGUCCUAGAGAGAAAGUGGGAACAACACCUAGUGCUCUACCUACGGCAAUUUAUAUAUGGUGUUUUUUAAUGUAGAGCACCAAAGAAAUCCAGGAAGUAACAAUUAGCAUUAUAUAGGAUUAUUAUUGCUAGAAAUUUCUCAUCAGCUUCACUGUAACUUCAAGGUGAGUUCCUUAUAUUAAUAAUAAUAACCGCCGACACUGACACCAACAUCGACAGCACUAUUCUACUCCUCUUCUAAUGGUGAGUUAAUUUUCCUUUUUAGUUUUUACUUUUCUUACUCAACUUCCUUGAAUACCAUCUAUUUAUCUAACCAAUACAAUGCCUACUCAAGAAUAAUUUUCAUUUUUUCCAAUGUUUUUUCCUGUGAAAACCACUCUUUCCUGUCCUCAGACUUUGAAGCAAUUGCAGAAGUUUUGAUUUUGGAAAAUGGGUGGAUUUCCUUUCCCCAAUAUAAGGUAAAUUUCUUGCUGCCCAGCAUAUGUUCGUUAAAAUGUGCACAUGACUGAAAAGUUACAAUAUUUUUCUGUACACUCCUGACUACUCCUUAAAGUCAGAGAUUAAUCAAAUAAUAUGGAAUUCUUAAACUCUAUGCUAACAAUAUUAAGCAUAACAAAUUACUUUCUAAUCAUUUGGUUCAUGAUCAUGUUGCUUGUUCUAAUGUGGUUUGUUACUUGCUGGCGUUUUCAAUAGCAUGGAGUUUAUUAAGACUGAGCUAUCAGCUUCAAAUUCGUAUUCUCUUGGUCUCAAGGUGUUACAUGCUUAUAGUUUUUAACUGAGAUAUUUAUGACUUAAUUUUGGCAUGGCUUAAUUUUCUAAUAUGUGUUGACCUACAAGCAUGUCUGGGAGAUUAACAACUUCUCGGAAUUGGACUUAGAAUGCUAUGACUCUAAAACAUUCAAUGCUGGAAACUGAGUGGUACAACAAUCACCCUGCUUUGUUUCUAAUAUAUGCUUCCAAAGUGUCUGAAAUUUUGCUUUGCAAUUUACUUACAUUGGUCAUAAUGCUAUUUCUUGCAAGAAGAUAAAACUAUAUCCCAAAGGAAACGGCCCUGGAUUUGGCAGUCAUCUUUUUUUUAUACUUAGCCUUAUCUAACUCAUCGACACUUUCUCCCGUUUUAAAAAUAUACGCAUAGAUAACAUUACACAUACUUGACCAAAAGCAAGCCAAGCAUCACUUUGGAAAAGGUAGAGUCUAGUUCAACUUUAAAACUGUAUGAAAUUUUCCUGAUGCCAGGGACUCAAAUUGAUAGUUCAAUUAAUAUUUGACACUACUAAAACAUUUAAUUCAAUCCAAUAACCUAACUUCUCCUUUUCUCUACUUGCAGCUAAUUACUGGUUUAGUUUCUCAAACCAUGAAAUGGUGGAUCAAGAUUGAUUCCACUCAGUUACUUCACCAGUCAAUACUAGGGUUUUUUGGUGAAGGAUAGUUGCUUGGUGGAAGUUGAGGUCCAAAUUCAGGGUGGUUAAAGCAUUGUCCUGAUUUUGUCCAUAAAGCAGUCACAAUGAGCACUGACACUAUUUCUAUGUAAUAGCUUAAUUUUGUGAUACACAAAAACUUGUCUCUCAACAAACUUUCACUGGCAAGUACACUGAAUUGUCGUCAAGUAAUAACUCACAAUAGAAUGAGGUCGAA